Molecule: non-coding RNA, 28 nt
Filed under: Cricetulus griseus (Chinese hamster)
Lineage: Eukaryota; Metazoa; Chordata; Mammalia; Rodentia; Cricetidae
Source: RNAcentral
UAAAGCCACUGAGAAUUUAAACCAGGAA